GUAGUUUUUCCCCUCAGGGCCUUGAUGAACCUAUACUGGUGGUUUUAAGUUAUGUCUGACAUAUGUCUGUGCAGUUUCUGGGAUGCUUAGACCUCAAAAUGCACUGUUGGAAAUUAUUUUAUUUUCUAUGUUUUGUUCUGUUACUUUUCUAAAAACAGAUGGUGAUCUUUUCUAAAAGCGAUAGGACAGGUGUGGAGGAGAGUGAAGCAAGAGAAUGGGUUCCUAAGUCUGUGAGCUCAUCUGAAGAUGAUGGGACAGAUGACUGGAAACCCACACAGGAUGAAUCUGAAGGCUAUUCAGAAGAGGAGGAAGAACAAGAACGUAAAAGGAUUCCUAAGAUGGUGGCAGCAUCUGAAGAGGAUGGGACACAUGAUAGCAGACCCACACAAGAUGAAUCUAAAGAUGAUUCAAAGGAUGAAGCAGAACAUUUGGGACAAAUGAUUCACAAAGUGGCCAUGGAAAAGAUGCAGCAGGCCUAUGUAAGCCAAGACAAAGCAAUGACUGUGAAUAAGAGUUCAGAAAAAAGGGUGAUUCACCAAACCAGAUGCUUGAAGAGGCUCACUUUUCAUCAGUCAACUCUCUUUGAAGACACGAUACCAAGAUCUGAUAACAACAAGAAAGACCAAAGUGGAAUGUCAUCUGCAGCAAUAAUAACCUCAGAACAACUGGAGGAGAAAGAGAUACAAGAAGAGUCUCUGGAGAAGAUGAAGAGUGAAGACAAAGAAGGGAAGAGAAAAGAAAAAGUACAGCAGGAGCCUCUGGAGAAGAUGAGCGGCAAAAGGCAAAGGAAGGAAGAAAAGAUACAGGCAGAGCCUCUGGAGAAGAUGAGCGGCAAAAGGCAAAGGAAGGAAGAAAAGAUACAGGCAGAGCCUCUGGAGAAGAUGAGCGGCAAAAGGCAAAGGAAGGAAGAAAAGAUACAGGCAGAGCCUCUGGAGAAGAUGAAGAGUGAAGCCAAAGUAGGAAAGAGAAAAGAAAAAGUACAGCAGAGCCUCUGGAGAAGAUGAAGAGUGAAGCCAAAGUAGGAAAGAGAAAAGAAAAAGUACAGCAGGAGCCUCAGGAGAAGAUGAGUGAAGGGGGAAAGGACUCUGAAAAUAAGGUGCAAUUUAUUCCAUUGCUCCCAGUAAGCCCAAGAAAUGCCUUAUUUGAGGGCUUUUGCAUUGUAUUUGUUUUUGAAGAUUCCAC
Astatotilapia calliptera (eastern happy) is the source of this 1182-nucleotide long non-coding RNA. NCBI's taxonomy places the organism in Eukaryota, Metazoa, Chordata, Actinopteri, Cichliformes, Cichlidae. The record is from Ensembl.